GGCUACCUAGUGCAGUGAUUAGCGCGUCUGCCUUCGGUUUGAAGAUGCAGGAAACGCGGGUUCGAAUCCUGCGGAAGGCA
Molecule: transfer RNA, 80 nt
Filed under: Drepanopeziza brunnea f. sp. 'multigermtubi' MB_m1
Lineage: Eukaryota; Fungi; Ascomycota; Leotiomycetes; Helotiales; Drepanopezizaceae
Description: Marssonina brunnea f. sp. 'multigermtubi' MB_m1 tRNA
Rfam family: tRNA
About the family: Transfer RNA (tRNA) molecules are approximately 80 nucleotides in length. Their secondary structure includes four short double-helical elements and three loops (D, anti-codon, and T loops).
Source: Rfam by way of RNAcentral